GGAAUCUACCUUGUAGUGGGGGACAACCCGAGGAAACUCGGGCUAAUACCGCAUAAUCUCUUCGGAGGAAAGCGGGGGACCUUUGGGCCUCGCGCUAUAAGAUGAGCCUGCGUCAGAUUAGCUUGUUGGUUGGGUAAUGGCCUACCAAGGCAACGAUCUGUAGCUGGUCUGAGAGGACGAUCAGCCACACUGGGACUGAGACACGGCCCAGACUCCUACGGGAGGCAGCAGUGGGGAAUAUUGGACAAUGGGCGCAAGCCUGAUGCAGCAAUGCCGCGUGUGUGAAGAAGGCCUGCGGGUUGUAAAGCACUUUCAGUAGAGAAGAAAAGUUUAGGGUUAAUACCCCUGAAUCUUGACGUUACCUACAGAAGAAGCUCCGGCUAACUCCGUGCCAGCAGCCGCGGUAAUACGGAGGGAGCGAGCGUUAAUCGGAAUUACUGGGCGUAAAGCGCGCGUAGGUGGCUCUUUAAGUCGGAUGUGAAAGCCCUGGGCUCAACCUGGGAAUUGCAUUCGAAACUGCAGAGCUAGAGUAUGG
This 535-nucleotide ribosomal RNA is filed under the name uncultured bacterium. RNAcentral describes it as "bacterial SSU rRNA". It matches the Rfam family "Bacterial small subunit ribosomal RNA", at positions 121 to 651 of the family's 1533-position model. The record is from RNAcentral.